UCUGAUGUGGCAGAAAUUGUAUAAGAUUUAGGUUCUUACCAUGAAAUAAAAUAAUUCCUUCAGAA
Molecule: transfer RNA, 65 nt
Filed under: Eophreatoicus karrkkanj
Lineage: Eukaryota; Metazoa; Arthropoda; Malacostraca; Isopoda; Amphisopidae
Description: tRNA-Leu
Source: RNAcentral